This 336-nucleotide unclassified non-coding RNA is filed under the name Hevea brasiliensis (rubber tree). Lineage: Eukaryota; Viridiplantae; Streptophyta; Magnoliopsida; Malpighiales; Euphorbiaceae. The record is from RNAcentral.
AUUGGAUUAAUGUUCAAACACAAUUUUUAUGAUAUAGAAAUGGUAUCACAAAGAUAAAUGGACCGAUCGAAGAAAAUAAUCACUUUGAUUGUGGCAUCUGCACUCAAUAAUUUUCAAUUUGACUGACACUCAUGCACAGCCUAAAGCUCACACCAUCCAAACCAGGGAACCACUGCUCACUGGAAAGCCCGUUAACCAUAAAAAGAACAUGAAAAAGAUUGUAUAAUGUCAAAACAAAGUUUUUGAUGGACAAAUUUUUAUUCCAAGAUGGCCUAGCUUUCCAAAAGUUUACACCUAAUAUGAGUGGGAUAUUUUGAACAAAAUCAUCAUCAUUUA